RNAcentral lists this ribosomal RNA (1866 nucleotides) under Triticum aestivum (bread wheat). Its description in RNAcentral is "partial small subunit ribosomal RNA". The record is from RNAcentral. Lineage: Eukaryota; Viridiplantae; Streptophyta; Magnoliopsida; Poales; Poaceae.
AUGGCGGACAAGAAUACGCCGCCGGGGGGGCUGAAGCAACGCGGCCCGGCUCCGCCGAAGAUCCCGGGGCGUCGCCAAGCCAUGGGGGGUGCGUGUACUGCUGCUGCGCCUGGUAAAGGUGCUGCCCCUCCUACACAAACUACCGUCGCUGUGCUACCGCCACCGAUCCCUCCUACCCCACCGGUGCAAGUCUUCGACGAGCGCUACAAAGAUAUGGUUUGCUUUACCCGCGGAGGCCCUGGCCACUAUGUUGGUAAUUGCAUCCAGAAGAAAGCUUGCUUCAUCUGUGGAUUGGAGGGUCACAAUGUUAAUAAUUGUGCAGCCUGGGCACAACCUCAUCCAGUUGCCACUUUCUUUGGGGGUUCUGCUCUGGGACUGGGGUUCUAUCACAUCGACGCUCCUGUGGGUAGAGAAGCAAGUUGGCUGAACUUCAGGAAUUGCGGAGAAGUUUGGAUCAUGAAAGGCGAAAUCAACAAGUCAGAUCUAGUUAAGAAUCUCUCUGGUAUAUUUUGCAAAAACAAACAAUGGACGUGGCAGAUCAGGCCACUAUCAGAGAAGAAGUUCCUGGUCAGAUUCCCACCCUGGAAAGAUGUCGAAGAACUGAUUGAAUUCCCUGCCUUUGAUCUGCUCAUCGAUGGAGUGUCUGUGUCUGUGGAAAAGUGGACCGGUUCAAUUGACCCAUUCAGCGAGCUUACUGAAGCAUGGGUAGUUGUUGAGGGUCUGUCAUCAAAAUGGUGCACAUGGAAAGUCCUAUCUCAAAUUGCUUCCUGCUUUGGAAUUCUUGUGGAUGUAGAUUGGAAUGGUCUGAUGAAGAGCUUCUAUGAGAAAGUGAGGGUCAAAAUUGCUUGUAGGGACCUAGCUAAGAUCCCUUUCGAAAGGAUUAUGGAGAUGAGGAAAAAACUCUAUAUCUUAUCCUUUACUGUGGAAGGUUUUCACCAGAUAGGGGCUGAUGAUCCUAAUGAUGAUGAUGGACCUACUAACAUAGCUGUGGAUGAUUACAACAAGGUAAUUGAUGAGGAGGAACUGGAUAAAGACAUCCUGGAUGAUGGAGAGGAACACAUAGAUGACCUAGACCUUGCCAACAGAGCCCCCACAAAAACUCCAGCUAGGAAGAAAGCGACUGAUGAUGGUGCUACAUUCCAUCCCCCUGCUCUGUUGGAGGCAUGCAUCUCUCCUGUGAGAGCUAAUAAGAAGACUGAAGAAGAAACUGUGGCCCAGAGCGUGUGCUCUUCGAUACCCUUCUCUGAGGCAAUCAAAAUCCUUAGCACUCCCCACAACAAAGCAAAUGAGGUCAGUAUGCUUGCUGCAUCGUCAAGUGGUGAAGCUGCUAUCACUUCCCCAGUGUUUGCUCAAAAAAUAUACUGUUCUGGUAUGCUAGAAGAAUUGGAAGACUCUGCUUCUGAUACUGACAGUGAAUCUGUUGAACCUGAUGAGGAAAUGGUUACUGUUGAAGCUCCAAUAGCUAGUGGCUUGAAGAUAAUGGAACUUAUGGAGAAAACCAAGGAAAGGGCUACACCCAAGAACAAGUGGGGCCCGGUGGUUGCUCCAAGACUGAGCUCCAGGGUCCACAACAGGCAAAAUAUCAUGGAGAAAGCUGCAGCUUACAAGAUGAAACAAAACCUGGAAAUCGCCCUUACAUUUAAAAGGCGCGCCGUGGACAAGCACCCGUGCAAUCUUGGCAAGGAUCAGCUUAUCGCUACAUCAAUGGAAGCUUCUCUGUGUGGGCGACCAAUCGGUGCUGCUGAGAAGAUGCAUUCAACUCCUGGAUCGGCGAAGAGGCGAGCUGCUCAAGAUUGCGUGGGCAUUGGGCUGAGAGCUUGCGUGAAGAGGACCCGAGACGAGGCGCUGAAGGCUCAUUCAGAGUGA